Molecule: ribosomal RNA, 497 nt
Filed under: uncultured bacterium
Lineage: Bacteria
Description: partial 16S ribosomal RNA
Rfam family: Bacterial small subunit ribosomal RNA
Source: RNAcentral
GAUGAACGCUGGCGGCGUGCCUAACACAUGCAAGUCGAGCGAAAACAUGGGGAGCUUUUGCCCCUGACGUUAGCGGCGGACGGGUGCGUAACACGUGGAUAGCCUACCUCUACGACUGGGAUGACUACGGGAAACCGGUUCUACUACCCGAUAAUAUAUUGCACCGCAGGGUUCAAUAGUUCUAGUCGCUUUUUGUGUCUCUAAUAGCCGGUUCCGCGCCGGAUUAGUUAGUUGGUAAGGUAAAGGCUUACCAAGGCUACGAUGCGUAGCCGACCUGAGAGGGUGAUCAGCCACACUGGAACUGAGACACGGUCCAGACUCCUACGGGAGGCAGCAGUAGGGAAUAUUACGCAAUGGGCGAAAGCCUGAUGGAGCAACACCGCGUGAGUGAUGAAGGUCUUCGGGUCGUAAAGCGCUGUUGUUAGGAAAGAAGAAAAGCGGAUGUAACCAUGGCCGUUUUGACGGUACCUAAAGAAAAAGCACCGGCUAACUACGUG